UUUUCAGUUUGGACUCUGAUCAGGAAGAGACUCUUCCCACCAAAAAGGCUUUAAAACCCUUCCCAGCAACCAGCAUGCAAAUACCAGAGCUGCCAUGACUGCUAAAUCCGGAUCUUCACUGGAAAAAUGCAGCUCCAGCACCAUCAGUGAACAAGACAGUACCCUGCACGAAAGUUCUUAUUCAGUGGAAAACUCAUCCCAUGUAUUCCGUACAAGACACUCUUCCCACAUAGCUAAAGAGGCAAACAUAUGUCCUGGGACUUGUCUCCAUGUGAAGAUGAAGACCACAAUAAAGGAGCACUUGAGUUGAUGAGUCUCGGUCUUACUGUGAUGUACUGAUAAUUCUCUGAAGAAAACAGUUCUGAUUCGCAGGGCUUGCCAAAUUCCACGUAUAAGAGCAUGUGUAAUUUGCCCAGAGGCCCGCAGACUCGACCCCUUUGGCUGGCUUGAUAUCUGAAGGAAGGAUCUGUUCCACACCUCAGAGAAGACCCACUUAGGACAGGAAGUCAGACUUAGAGACCCACUCUUGGGGAUUCAUCAGGUUUGUUGGAGAUGUGAAAGCCAUGGAUGGGCACAUGCCAAUUGCUUGAGC
Molecule: long non-coding RNA, 592 nt
Organism: Suricata suricatta (meerkat)
Lineage: Eukaryota; Metazoa; Chordata; Mammalia; Carnivora; Herpestidae
Exons: 5
Source: RefSeq, a predicted model, not a curated record